RNAcentral lists this ribosomal RNA (440 nucleotides) under uncultured bacterium. Its description in RNAcentral is "partial 16S ribosomal RNA". It matches the Rfam family "Bacterial small subunit ribosomal RNA", at positions 338 to 795 of the family's 1533-position model. The record is from RNAcentral.
CCUACGGGAGGCAGCAGUGGGGAAUAUUGCACAAUGGGGGAAACUCUGAUGCAGCGACGCCGCGUGAGGGAAGAAGUAUUUCGGUAUGUAAACUUCUAUCAGCAGGGAAGAAAAUGACUGAAACUGACAAAGAAACACUGGCUAACUACGUUACAGGAGCCGCGGGAAUAAGUAGGGGGCAAGCGUUAUCCGGAUUUACUGGGUGUAAAGGGUGAGUAGGGUGUUUUGGAAGUCAGAAGGGAAAGCCCGGGGCUCAACUCUGAGACUGCUUUUGAAACUGUUGACCUUGAUUGCAGGAGAGGUAAGUGGAAUUCCUGGUGGAGCGGUGAAAUGCGUAGAUAGUAGGAGGAACACCGGUGGCGAAGGCGGCUUACUGGCCUGUAAAUGACGCUGAGGCUCGAAAGCGUGGGGAGCAAACAGGAUUAGAUACCCUGGUAGUC